Molecule: long non-coding RNA, 631 nt
Organism: Macrobrachium nipponense
Lineage: Eukaryota; Metazoa; Arthropoda; Malacostraca; Decapoda; Palaemonidae
Exons: 4
Source: RefSeq, a predicted model, not a curated record
GUGAAUCUUGGUCGAGUUGAAGUCCUUUGGAGGCCAGUUACAAAUCAUCUCCUGGAUGUCUGCCAGCAUCCCCAUGUGCGGAUGCGAGAGUGGGGUGUUGAAGCUGUAACAUACUUGGUGAAGGCAGCUCUUACACACAAGCAUAAUCCUCCUCUGAAAGACAAUCAGAAACUGCAAACACUGUUAUUGUCACCACUGUCUGAAGUGUCGCUUGUUGGGCAUCCAGAUGUUCGUCAGAAGCAGCUUGAGUCGCUCUUGCAAAUAUUUUACAUUCUUGUGGUGAACUUUUACAUCAUGGCUGGCCUCUAAUACUUAACAUUAUUGGGGCUAUUAAUGACAAUCAUAGUGAACAUCUAGUUCGACUUGCAUUCCAGUGUCUACAGUUAGUAGUGACAGACUUUUUACCCCUAAUGCCUUGGGCUUGUUUGCCACUGACUGUAGAUACAGCAGCUAAAUUUGGUUCCCAGACACAAGAGCUUAAUAUUUCACUCACUGCUAUUGGUCUUAUGUGGAAUAUUUCAGAUUACUUUUACCAAAAUCAAGAAAAACUGCGUGCUUCGUUGACGUCAGAUAAUCAAGUCUUUCCUGAUUUUCCUGGUGUACCAAAUAUGCCUCCAUUUGAUAAGUUAUG